AGCUACAUACCGCGAUACGCUAGUGUGAGUGAAGAGAAGUUUCGGCGAAGUGGAUGAUGCUUGUCGUCUGAUUGAUGCUAGUUGGUGUGGUAAUUGGGACACCAAGGCGACCCAUCAGCAGCUGGUCGUGAUGAGGAUGGACCAGGCCACAGUUGGAACUGAGACACUGGUCCAAAACUCCAUACGGGAGUGCAGCAGUGGGGAAUUUUCCGCAAUGGACGCAAGUCUGACGGAGCGACGCUGCGUGAAGGAUGACGGCCCGCGGGUUGUAAAACUUCUUUUCUCGAAGAAGAAACAAAUGACGGUAUUCGAGGAAUAAGCACUCGGCUAACUCCGUGCCAGCAGCCGCUGGUAAGACGGAGGAUGCAAGUGUUAUUCGGAAUGAUUGGGCGUAAAGAGUCUGUAGGCCGUAUAGAAAGUCUUUAUGUUAAAUGCCUCGGCUCAACCGAGAUCCAGCCAAAGGAAACUUCUAUACUUAGAGGGAAGUAGAGGUACAGGGAAUUCCCGGUGGAGCGGUGAAAUGCGUAGAUA
Molecule: ribosomal RNA, 531 nt
Filed under: uncultured bacterium
Lineage: Bacteria
Description: bacterial SSU rRNA
Rfam family: Bacterial small subunit ribosomal RNA
Source: RNAcentral